Molecule: transfer RNA, 49 nt
Filed under: Osteolaemus tetraspis (dwarf crocodile)
Lineage: Eukaryota; Metazoa; Chordata; Crocodylia; Crocodylidae
Description: transfer RNA-Ala
Source: RNAcentral
GAGGUUUUAGCUUAAUAAAAGCUUAUGACUUGCAUUCAUAGGAUAUAGG